Molecule: small RNA, 29 nt
Filed under: Bombyx mori (domestic silkworm)
Lineage: Eukaryota; Metazoa; Arthropoda; Insecta; Lepidoptera; Bombycidae
Description: ovarian small RNA-30025
Source: RNAcentral
UCUGUAUGGACCCCCCUCGGGUAAAAGCC